CAUCACUACGCUAGAUGCAUAUCAAUAAGCGGAGGAAAAGAAACUAACAAGGAUUCCCCUAGUAACGGCGAGUGAAGCGGGAAGAGCUCAAAUUUGAAAUCUUAAAGGUUUUCCCUUGACGAAUUGUAGUUUAAAGAAGUGUUUUCUGUUGAAGUUUUGGUAAAAGUUCUUUGGAAUAGGACAUCAUAGAGGGUGAGAAUCCCGUAUUUGAUCAUUCUUUCUAGCUGUGUGAUACACUUUCAACGAGUCGGAUUGUUUGGGAAUGCAGUCCAAAAUGGGUGGUAAAUUUCAUCUAAAGCUAAAUAUUGGCGAGAGACCGAUAGCGAACAAGUACCGUGAGGGAAAGAUGAAAAGAACUUUGAAAAGAGAGUUAAACAGUACGUGAAAUUGUCAAAAGGGAAGCGUUUGACACCAGUGUUGUUUUCUCGAAAAUCAAUUAAAAAUGAUGGGAUUUUGUGUUGUAUUGACUUUAUCAGCUUUCUGCACUUUUUUCUUAUCUUUUUUAAUGCACUUUUCGUUUAACAAGUCAACAUCAAUUUCUUUUGUUGUAAAAGGGUACGAGGAAGGUGGCUUUCUUUUCGGAGAAAGUGUUUAUAGCCUUGUACCUCUGCAAUCGGAGAGAUUGAGGUCUGCAGCGUAGAUCCUUCGGGGUUAGAUACAUUUGUGCUAAGUUAUAGCUUUUCAUAGACAACUUGUUGACUAUGCUCAGUCAUGUAGCUUACUCGCUUGUGCUAUUUUACCUACGCUUAGGAUGUUGAAGAUAUGCGCGACACG
Molecule: ribosomal RNA, 774 nt
Filed under: uncultured Neocallimastigales
Lineage: Eukaryota; Fungi; Neocallimastigomycota; Neocallimastigomycetes; Neocallimastigales
Description: partial large subunit ribosomal RNA
Rfam family: Eukaryotic large subunit ribosomal RNA
Source: RNAcentral